UACGAAGGGUGCAAGCGUUACUCGGAAUUACUGGGCGUAAAGCGUGCGUAGGUGGUUCGUUAAGUCUGAUGUGAAAGCCCUGGGCUCAACCUGGGAAUGGCAUUGGAAACUGGCGAUCUAGAGUGCGGUAGAGGGUAGUGGAAUUCCCGGUGUAGCAGUGAAAUGCGUAGAGAUCGGGAGGAACAUCUGUGGCGAAGGCGACUGCCUGGACCAGCACUGACACUGAGGCGCGAAAGCUAGGGGAGCAAACGGG
Molecule: ribosomal RNA, 253 nt
Filed under: uncultured bacterium
Lineage: Bacteria
Description: partial 16S ribosomal RNA
Rfam family: Bacterial small subunit ribosomal RNA
Source: RNAcentral